This 492-nucleotide ribosomal RNA is filed under the name uncultured bacterium. RNAcentral describes it as "partial 16S ribosomal RNA". It matches the Rfam family "Bacterial small subunit ribosomal RNA", at positions 29 to 507 of the family's 1533-position model. The record is from RNAcentral.
AUUGAACGCUGGCGGCAUGCUUUACACAUGCAAGUCGAACGGUAACAGGCCUUCGGGUGCUGACGAGUGGCGAACGGGUGAGUAAUGCAUCGGAACGUACCCAGAGGUGGGGGAUAACGCAGCGAAAGCUGUGCUAAUACCGCAUGUGAUCUGAGGAUGAAAGCGGGGGACCGAGCAGCAAUGUUUGGCCUCGCGCCUUUGGAGCGGCCGAUGUCGGAUUAGCUAGUUGGUGGGGUAAAGGCCUACCAAGGCGACGAUCCGUAGCUGGUCUGAGAGGACGACACGCAACACGGGAGUUGGGAACCGGCCAAGACCCAUACGGGAGGAGGAAGGGGGGAUUUUUGAAAAAGGGGCGAAGGCCUGCCCCAGAAAUGCGGCGGGAGGAAGGAGGGCCUUGGGGUGGUAAACCUUUUUGGGAAGGAAAGAAACGGUGUCCGCGAAACCCGGCCGGUAAGGCGGGUCCCUAAAAAAAAAGCCCGGGCAAACUCCGGG